UAAAUUUGAUUGUGGUUUAGGAAUAUUUAAAAUAAUGUUAUUUAAUUUUAAUUCAUUUAGUAGACAAUAUAAAAUUAUCUCGGUAAUAAAUCUUUUGUAUAACUUUUGUUCCAGAAUAAUCGGCUACACUAAAGAAAAUUGUACUUAAAUUGUUUUUUAUUUAGUUUUUAUUUUUUUUUUUAAUUUUAUUUUUUAGGUAAAAUUUAAAAAUUAUUAAAAUUUGUAUACUAAAUAAUAAGAUUUUGUUUUAAAAUUGGAUUAGUACCCAAGUAUAAAAAAUUUAAAAGUGCAGUAUUAAAGUAAAAUUUAAACUGAAAAAAUAUUGGCAGAUUUUUUAAUUAUCUUUGGAGGUUGAAAUAUAAUUGAGAACCCUCAUUAACAGCUUUUUCUUUUGAUUUAUGUAUGAUCGUUUAUUUAAUUUUUAAGAAAUUUAAUUAAAAUUUAUUAUUAUUAAAAUAGAUAAAUACCUAGUUUAUGAAAAAGUUUAAAUUUUGACCUACAAUAUUUUAUAAUGUGGAUUAUAAUUUUAGUUUUUUAUAUGAAAAUGUAAAAGACAGUAAAAAUAUUUUUAUGUUAUUUUGAAGUUUAUCAAAAAAUGGUACAAAUCAUCCAUCAAUUGCCUAAAGGGGAGUAAGUUGUAGUAAAGUAGAGUUAGGGGAACCUGUCUCUAGAAGAUCU
This 678-nucleotide non-coding RNA is filed under the name Halicephalobus gingivalis. Lineage: Eukaryota; Metazoa; Nematoda; Chromadorea; Rhabditida; Panagrolaimidae. The record is from RNAcentral.